Long non-coding RNA from Oncorhynchus tshawytscha (Chinook salmon), 737 nucleotides. NCBI's taxonomy places the organism in Eukaryota, Metazoa, Chordata, Actinopteri, Salmoniformes, Salmonidae. The record is from Ensembl.
CCCAGGUAAGGAGUUGUGAUGUCGCCUUAGGAAUCCAGCGGUGGAACGCCCUCGACGGCCGAACCCGACAGUUGGUUUUAGACCAUCACCUCCUCCCUCCCCGACACACUCAAUGCCUACCACCCUGACAGAUCCACAGACGCAAUCGCCAUUGGGUAACCUGGACAAAAGGAAUGCAUAUGUGAGGAUGCUGUUCAUCAACUACAGCUCAGCCUUCAAUACCAUAGUGCCCUAAAUGCUCCUUACAAAGCUCACAGACUUGUGUCUAAUCUCCUCCCUAUGCAACUGGGUCUUGGACUUCCUGAUGGGCCACCCCCAGGGGGUGAAGGUAGGCAACAUUACCUCCUCGACAAUGAUUCUCAGCACAGGGGCCCCACAAGGGUGUGUCCUCAGUCCCCUCCUGUAUACCCACGACUGCGUGGUCUCACACAGUUCCAACUUCAUCAUCAAGUUCGCUGACAACACAACAGUAGUCGGCCUGAAAACCAACUACGACGAGACAGACUACAAGGAGGAGGUAGGCACUCUGAUGGUGUAGUGCCAGGUAACAACCUCUCCCUCAACGUUAGUAAAACAAAGGAGCUGAUUGUGGACUUCAGAAGGAACCAGGCUGGACACCCCACUAUCCUCGUCAAUGGGGCCACCGUGGAGAUGGUCAAUAACUACCCCGCAAUAAUCACCCCGCUGUCAUCCAGAAGGCGAGGUCAGUACAGGUGCAUCAAAGCUGGGACCGAGAG